This 1255-nucleotide ribosomal RNA is filed under the name metagenome. RNAcentral's name for it is "SSU rRNA". It matches the Rfam family "Eukaryotic small subunit ribosomal RNA", at positions 528 to 1686 of the family's 1831-position model. The record is from RNAcentral.
AAACCCUUAACGAGUAGCAAUUGGAGGGCAAGUCUGGUGCCAGCAGCCGCGGUAAUUCCAGCUCCAAUAGCGUAUAUUAAAGUUGUUGCAGUUAAAAAGCUCGUAGUUGGACCUUAGCUGUGACGUAGGCGGUCCUCCGUGAGGGAGUGUACUGUCUCGGUGCAGUUAUUUACUUGGGAGAUUGUUCGGUUCGGCCCUUAAUUGGGUCGGGCAUCGUUGUUUUCGGACGGCGGAGGCAGCGGUUUCUGCGGAGGUCGUUGUUUGGGCGCUCCCUCAUUUACUGUGAGUAAAUUAGAGUGUUUAAAGCAGCCUCUUUGGGCUUUGAGUACUAUUAGCAUGGGAUAAUGAAAUAGGACUUUGGUGCUAUUUUGUUGGUUUCUAGAACCGAAGUAAUGAUUAAUAGGGAUAGUUGGGGGCAUUUGUAUUUAGUUGUCAGAGGUGAAAUUCAUGGAUUUACGAAAGACAAACAUCAGCGAAAGCAUUUGCCAAGGAUGUUUUCAUUAAUCAAGAACGAAAGUUAGGGGAUCGAAGAUGAUCAGAUACCGUCGUAGUCCUAUACCAUAAACUAUGCCGACCAGGGAUUUGUGGAAGUUGAUAAUAUGUCCCUUCGGGGGUGUAUAAUGACUCCAUGAGCACCUUGUGAGAAAUCAUAAGUGUUUGGGUUCCGGGGGGAGUAUGGUCGCAAGGCUGAAACUUAAAGGAAUUGACGGAGGGGCACCACCAGGCGUGGAGCUUGCGGCUUAAUUUGACUCAACACGGGAAAACUUACCAGGCCAAGACAUUUGAAGGAUUGACAGAUUGAUAGCUCUUUCAUGAUUAUAUGGGUGGUGGUGCAUGGCCGUUCUUAGUUGGUGGAGUGAUUUGUCUGGUUAAUUCCGUUAACGAACGAGACCUCAACCUACUAAAUAGUUAUGCGUAUCAUCAAGGGCGCGUCGUGGCCUCCGGGUUGUGGCGUGUCCGAUACGUAGACAACUUCUUAGAGGGACAGUCGAUAUCAUUAAGACGAAGGAAGUGUGAGGCAAUAACAGGUCUGUGAUGCCCUUAGAUGUUCUGGGCUGCACGCGUGCUACACUGACAGAGCCAACGAGUAUACAACCUUGACCGAAAGGCCUGGGUAAUCUUUUGAAACUCUGUCGUGCUGGGGAUAGAUGAUUGUAAUUAUUCGUCUUGAACGAGGAAUGCCUAGUAAGUGCAACUCAUCAGGUUGCGCUGAUUACGUCCCUGCCCCUUGUACACACCGCCCGUCGCUCCUACC